This 492-nucleotide ribosomal RNA is filed under the name uncultured bacterium. Its description in RNAcentral is "partial 16S ribosomal RNA". It matches the Rfam family "Bacterial small subunit ribosomal RNA", at positions 29 to 507 of the family's 1533-position model. The record is from RNAcentral.
AGUGAACGCUGGCGGCAGGCCUAACACAUGCAAGUCGAGCGGCCGCACAGUAAGAGCUUGCUCUUACGGGUGGCGAGUGGCGGACGGGUGAGGAAUACAUCGGAAUCUACUUUUUCGUGGGGGAUAACGUAGGGAAACUUACGCUAAUACCGCAUAUGACCUACGGGUGAAAGCAGGGGAUCUUCGGACCUUGCGCGAUUGAAUGAGCCGAUGUCGGAUUAGCUAGUUGGCGGGGUAAAGGCCCACCAAGGCGACGAUCCGUAGCUGGUCUGAGAGGAUGAUCGGCCACACUGGAACUGAGACACGGUCCAGACUCCUACGGGAGGCAGCAGUGGGGAAUAUUGGGCAAUGGGCGCAAGCCUGAUCCAGCCAUACCGCGUGGGUGAAGAAGGUCUUCGGGUUGUAAAGCCCUUUUGUUGGGAAAGAAAAACAGCAGGUUAAUACCCCGCUGUUCUGACGGUACCCAAAGAAUAAGCACCGGCUAACUUCGUG